UCUGUAGGUGUACCUGCGGAGGGAUCAGAUCCGAGUUUACAACUCCCAAACCCAAUGUGAACGUUACACAAACUGUUGCCUCGGCGGGAUCUCUGCCCCGGGUGCGUCGCAGCCCCGGACCAAGGCGCCCGCCGGAGGACCAACCAAAACUCUUAUUGUAUACCCCCUCGCGGGUUUUUUACUAUCUGAGCCAUCUCGGCGCCCCUCGUGGGCGUUUCGAAAAUGAAUCAAAACUUUCAACAACGGAUCUCUUGGUUCUGGCAUCGAUGAAGAACGCAGCGAAAUGCGAUAAGUAAUGUGAAUUGCAGAAUUCAGUGAAUCAUCGAAUCUUUGAACGCACAUUGCGCCCGCCAGUAUUCUGGCGGGCAUGCCUGUCCGAGCGUCAUUUCAACCCUCGAACCCCUCCGGGGGGUCGGCGUUGGGGAUCGGCCCUUUACGGGGCCGGCCCCGAAAUACAGUGGCGGUCUCGCCGCAGCCUCUCCUGCGCAGUAGUUUGCACACUCGCAUCGGGAGCGCGGCGCGUCCACAGCCGUUAAACACCCCAAACUUCUGAAAUGUUGACCUCGGAUCAGGUAGGAAUACCCGCGAACUAGU
Molecule: ribosomal RNA, 594 nt
Filed under: Trichoderma virens
Lineage: Eukaryota; Fungi; Ascomycota; Sordariomycetes; Hypocreales; Hypocreaceae
Description: eukaryotic LSU rRNA
Rfam family: 5.8S ribosomal RNA (bases 232-385)
Source: RNAcentral